Long non-coding RNA from Humulus lupulus (European hop), 1377 nucleotides. RefSeq lists it as uncharacterized. Lineage: Eukaryota; Viridiplantae; Streptophyta; Magnoliopsida; Rosales; Cannabaceae. The transcript has 2 exons. The record is from RefSeq and is a predicted model, not a curated record.
ACGAAAUUCAUUGGAAUUAAAUGACAGAUAAAAAAAACAAUAAACAAUCCUUAUAUAGCCAAAAUUCGUUCAGAAAACAAAGGGCAAAUUCGACAACACCGGGGCCUUCUCUUCUUCCUCGCCUUUUCUUCUUCUUCUUCUUCUUCUUCUUCCUCUUCUUCCUCUCUCUGAGUUUUUUUCGGUUGACGAAGGAAUCAAAGCUGCAAGAAUGUCGAGGGAAUGACGGGUCAAGAUCUUGAUUUGGUGGUCCAGCCAGCAUCAACAAGGGCGGCGUGGAGAAUUGGGAGCUUUUGUACUCACAAAAACCCUAACCAUCGCCGCUGUGUUCUCCGGAUUCGGCGAUCUGAUUCCGUGGUUGAUCGCACUCGCCUUCUUCUUCGCCAGAUGGUUUAUCAAGACCGGUCUAGGUAACAUAAUUGCUUACCAAUUCGUCUCCCUGUUCGAUAGCUCGUCGCCGGUUUUGGGGUACAGUCUGGUGUUUAGUGAGGCGCUUUUAGCACCGGACAUUCCGUCAGUUUUGGUAAGAGCUGGUGGGAUUUUCUUGCGGCUGGUUAAGUCUUUGUGCAUUGCAUGUGGUAGCAAUGUCAGAGAUGGGACAGAGCACAAAUUGGGAUCCUGGCUGAUGGGACGAAGCACAAGUUGGGAUCUAGUCUAGGUAACAUAAUCUCUUACCAAUUCGUCUCCCUGUUCGAUUGCUCGUCGCUGGGUUUGGGGAACAGUUUGGUGUUUUACUGAGGCGCUCUUAGCGCCGGCCAUUCCGUCGAUUUCGGCAAGAGCUUGUGGGAUUUUCUUGACGAUGGUUAAGUCUUUGUGCGUUUCAUGUGGUAGCAAUGUUGUAAUGGGACGAAGCACAAGUUGGGAUCCUGGCUCAUGCUUACUUGCUUUCAGACUUCGAUGAUUUCUUCAACGAUGUUCUUGACGACAAUGGCAGCUAAUCCGCUUAGUGCGACGUUGACUUUCAAUACGAUUUAGCAGACAAUUGGGUGGACUGAUUGAGCCAAGGCCGCCAUUGUUCGUGGAUUAGUAUCGUUGAUUGUGGUCCCUUUCCUUUUGUAUCUGAUUUACCCGCCAUCGGUGAAGUCCAUUCCUGAUGAACCUAAGCUUGCUAAGGAAAAGUUGGAGAAGAUGGGGCCAAUGAGCACCAACGAGAUUGUUAUGUCUGAGACACUUCUUCUUACGGUUGGACUUUGGAUUUUUGGAGGGAUGUUGAAUGUGGAUGCUGUGACUGCUGCAAUUGUUAUUGAGAUGUAUAUGUUUCUCAUUCAUUGUCAAAAUAGAGCAUUCUUAUGUUGAGAAGUAAUAACUCUGUUUGUGUGUGUAUGUUUACCAUGGUAUAUAUCAUUUAAAUCUAAACCCAUGCUCCAUUUUUACUUGAUA